Molecule: long non-coding RNA, 494 nt
Filed under: Capra hircus (goat)
Lineage: Eukaryota; Metazoa; Chordata; Mammalia; Artiodactyla; Bovidae
Description: lncRNA (ENSCHIG00000006994.1)
Source: RNAcentral
GGAAUCAAAGAAGAGGCUGUGUUUCUUGUCCUCAUUUAAAACGUGAAGAAACUGACCCCCAGAAUAGUGAAUGAUGGGCUCAAAGAUAGUCGCAAUGGAGAAAAAGUCAGUGUCAUCUGAGGGCUGGCUCCAUCACUUUGUAUGUAAAAUCACCAUGUAGUAGAGUGACUUUUCAACUGGAUAUUUUUCUGUUUUUCCAGAUAUCUGCUUAUUUGUUUUAUUUUGGCACUAAGACUUUUUUUGAAUGAAAUAUUACAAAGACAUCUGACCUUUGAAAGAAUCAAACUGAGCUGUUGUGGUCAAGGUAGGAAUGUGGAAAGAGAGUCCAGUCCUUGGACUUGCCCUUCUCAACUUCUACAAUUGGCCCACUAGGAAUCCUUCUGAUAUACGUGGCAGAUUCAGGAGCAACUCGAUUCAGAAUUCAUGCUAUAUCGCAGAAUCCAUCCAUCAUUGCUACCGCUUCUGGGUAAGUUCCGUUUUCCUGUCUGACUUUG